GACGUAGGGCGCGAGCGUUGUCCGGAUUUAUUGGGCGUAAAGAGCUCGUAGGCGGCUUGUCGCGUCGAAUGUGAAAUCUCAGGGCUCAACUCUGACAUUGCAUUCGAUACGGGCAGGCUCGAGUUCGGUAGGGGAGACUGGAAUUCCUGGUGUAGCGGUGAAAUGCACAGAUAUCAGGAGGAACACCGGUGGCGAAGGCGGGUCUCUGGGCCGAUACUGACGCUGAGGAGCGAAAGCGUGGGGAGCGAACAGG
This 253-nucleotide ribosomal RNA is filed under the name uncultured bacterium. Its description in RNAcentral is "partial 16S ribosomal RNA". It matches the Rfam family "Bacterial small subunit ribosomal RNA", at positions 524 to 776 of the family's 1533-position model. The record is from RNAcentral.